Molecule: ribosomal RNA, 463 nt
Filed under: uncultured bacterium
Lineage: Bacteria
Description: partial 16S ribosomal RNA
Rfam family: Bacterial small subunit ribosomal RNA
Source: RNAcentral
GACGAACGCUGGCGGCGUGCUUAACACAUGCAAGUCGAACGGAAAGGCCCUGCUUUUGUGGGGUGCUCGAGUGGCGAACGGGUGAGUAACACGUGAGUAAUCUGCCCUUGACUUUGGGAUAACUUCAGGAAACUGGGGCUAAUACCGGAUAGGAGCUCCUGCUGCAUGGUGGGGGUUGGAAAGUUUCGGCGGUUGGGGAUGGACUCGCGGCUUAUCAGCUUGUUGGUGGGGUAGUGGCUUACCAAGGCUUUGACGGGUAGCCGGCCUGAGAGGGUGACCGGCCACAUUGGGACUGAGAUACGGCCCAGACUCCUACGGGAGGCAGCAGUGGGGAAUAUUGCACAAUGGGCGGAAGCCUGAUGCAGAAACGCCGCGUGCGGGAUGACGGCCUUCGGGUUGUAAACCGCUUUCGCCUGUGACGAGGCGUAACGGAAAUGGUAAAGAAGCACCGGCUAACUACGUG